RNAcentral lists this unclassified non-coding RNA (352 nucleotides) under Tomentellopsis zygodesmoides. RNAcentral describes it as "sequence contains ITS1, 5.8S rRNA gene, ITS2". The stretch from base 42 to 195 matches the Rfam family "5.8S ribosomal RNA". The record is from RNAcentral. Lineage: Eukaryota; Fungi; Basidiomycota; Agaricomycetes; Thelephorales; Thelephoraceae.
UGGAAUGUACACGCGAAGCGUCUAACGGACGCGACAAACACAACUUUCAACAACGGAUCUCUUGGCUCUCGCAUCGAUGAAGAACGCAGCGAAAUGCGAUAAGUAAUGUGAAUUGCAGAAUUCAGUGAAUCAUCGAAUCUUUGAACGCACCUUGCGCUCCUUGGUAUUCCAAGGAGCAUGCCUGUUUGAGUGUCAUGAAAUUCUCAACUGCCCCGAGCUCUUGUGGCUCGCGAGGUGAGGUUGGAUUUGGAGGACAUCGCUGGCGCAUGCUUGUCGGCCCCUCUUGAAUGCAUGAGCUUUCCAGUCCUUGGCAAAGUAUCGUCGAUGUGAUAGUCAUCUGCGUCGCUCGAGA